RNAcentral lists this long non-coding RNA (1365 nucleotides) under Canis lupus familiaris (dog). Its description in RNAcentral is "lncRNA (ENSCAFG00040004115.1)". Lineage: Eukaryota; Metazoa; Chordata; Mammalia; Carnivora; Canidae. The record is from RNAcentral.
AUGGGCAGCUUUAUGUGGGCCUCUGGGAUCUGGGAGUCUGAGGGGAGCCAACCAAGGGAAGGCCUGACAAAAGAUGCGGGGGCGGGGGGAGCAAGGCACAUGCAAAGGCCCUGGGGUCAGAGGAGCUGGUGUGACGGAAGCUUAGAGAAAACACCGAGGCCGCGGUUGGAGGGGAGUCAGACAGGCGGGCAGAACGGGGUCGUGCAGGGCCCGGCACCCGCACCCAACAGCCCGAUUGCAUCCUUAGCUCGGCCAGUCACGGGCUCCCAGAGGGCACAGCUCCCGUCGUCCCCGCGGCUUUGCUCCUGCCACCCCCCCCCACCCCAGGGACGUCUUCUCUGCCCCCUGGAAUCCUACUUGUCCGAGAUGUGCCCUGUCCCACGGAGGAUCCCAGAGCUGUCCUUAAACAGCCAAAGAGCCCACCGAGCACGGGCUCCGCUCCGACCGUCGCUCCGACCGCCGGGACCUGUGUCCUCCGAGCAAGGUGCCCGGAGCCGCGGGGACCCUCGCUCUCACCUCUCCGGCUGCUGUCCUUGGAGAGACAGAGACCCAUCUCCUCCUCCUCCGUGGGUGACCCGGCCUCUUUCCCCUGCUCCUACUUUUAGGGUCAAAACGCGGAGAGAACAGGACGGUUGGCCCUUUGGGCCAGCGGCUCACGAAGCGCCCUACGCGUGCCCCUGGGGUGCCGGGCAUCAGGACCAGGGACCCGCGCCCUGCACCGGCUCCGAAGCCCCGAGCCCAGCGCACAACCCGGCGCCGAGUCCCUGCUGGAAACCGCCCCCGUGGCUUUGGAGGGGAGCAGGUCUCCAUCAGCAGCCGGCGUCGCUGAGGGGGGUAAAACCGUGACCCUGACCUUGAGGCAGUGCCGUUGUCAACAGAGCCCCAGGGCUGUGCUCAGGGCCGCCUGUCUGGGCCGCACCAAGUUGCAAAAAAGUCUCAGGAAUAUUUACAGUUGGUCUUUAAACGGCAGUGGGUAUGAAUAAAAGAGCAAUAUCUCACAUCAUUAGUCCAUAAAUAUGCAGUUUAGUUUUAUUUGUCAAAUAAAAUAACCUGAGAUUGAGCUGCCUGGUUGAAAGACACAGACAUACAUACACCUGUCUCCUUGCGCUGCCUGCUUCCCCGACUGCACGUCUGCCGCCCUUCGGGAAUGUUCUUUGCCCGAUAUGUCCCCCGCCCCCGCCCCCCGUCUGGCGUUCCCGGGGAGGGUCGCUCAGGCAGGUUUCCUGCCCCAGCCUCUUGAGGGGAGCAGCUGAAUGCCCAGGCCCUUACGGUGGCCGCGGGCUCAGGCUCUGCAGGGGAGGGACAGUUGGAGUCCCCUCGCCCAUUUUCUUUAUUUAAGGGUGACUCAUUUCCAUUCUAUAAAAG